CGUCACACCAUGAGAGUUGGCAAUACCCAAAGUUCGUGAGCUAACCCGUAAGGAGGCAGCGACCUAAGGUAGGGUCAGCGAUUGGGGUGAAGUCGUAACAAGGUAGCCGUAGGAGAACCUGCGGCUGGAUCACCUCCUUUCUAUGGAGAAAUCUAGUUAACACGACGUUUAACUAGUAAUUAAAAUAUACUUACUUCGAAAAAGAAGGUUUAAUUUAAUGUAGAUUCUGUUCAAUUUUGAAAGACUAAGUCUUUCAAAAUGUUCUUUGAAAAUUGCACAUAGUAAAUUGUAUAUAAUACAACAAGCCAAGAAUAUAUUCUUUGUAUAAAUAAGAACUAUUCAUUAAUUGUUAAAAUUAAAUUAAUA
RNAcentral lists this unclassified non-coding RNA (366 nucleotides) under Clostridium botulinum. RNAcentral describes it as "partial miscellaneous RNA". The stretch from base 1 to 140 matches the Rfam family "Bacterial small subunit ribosomal RNA", at positions 1395 to 1533 of the family's 1533-position model. Lineage: Bacteria; Bacillati; Bacillota; Clostridia; Eubacteriales; Clostridiaceae. The record is from RNAcentral.